CUAACCUCACCACACGGCACAAGCUCUCUCACCACCAAAGAGCAAGAAAACCAGAUCGACAAAAGGCUGUGCAAAUUCAAUGAUUUAAAAUGGCUGAAACCAAACAAGGGAAAACUGGUGAGGGCAGGUCUGCUCUUUUAUCUGCCCCAAUACACCAGCAGGUUAUGGAAUACUCCUCUUAAGGACUAGCUUAUCACAAGAUUCUCUGCAGAGGGGAAGUUACAGCAAGGAGGAGAAUCCCUUUUGCCAGCCACUCACCACUGUUUGGGAAGCCUGGGUAAUUGCGAAAAGGACAGAACUGAGGUGUUUGAAUGAUCGGAGUCCUGAAAGAAGCUAGGGGAAGCUUAAGAAGGAUCUUAAAAGGUUACUAAAGAAGAAAGCAUAUCCAAGCGUAACUAACAAUCACUUGGGUUGGAAAUCAGGCCCUGCCUGUGGUAACUCGAAUCAAUUCCUUUAAUCAGCAGGAGGCA
Neofelis nebulosa (Clouded leopard) is the source of this 470-nucleotide long non-coding RNA. RefSeq lists it as uncharacterized. The record is from RefSeq and is a predicted model, not a curated record. The transcript is spliced from 3 exons. NCBI's taxonomy places the organism in Eukaryota, Metazoa, Chordata, Mammalia, Carnivora, Felidae.